CGACACGCCUGGAUACAGAGAGAAGUCUGAUGUUGAGAAGGCUGAGCUUCAUGGAAAUUUCAGUUCCUUUAAAGUAAUGCCAUCUUUAGGAUAAUUGAUCGAAUUGUAAUAAAGGUUCAAAGUCACAUUAUUAAUUUCUGAGUUAUGAUUAAAGUUCCAUUAUUCGAUCGUUGGUGGUCGCGACCUCGAAAUUCAUUAAAGAUGUCUAAUACUAGAAUGAGGAUAAAUAAUAAAAAUAUUGCCGACCUCCGGCGGUGAGAAAGGAUCACGGGAAGGCGAGGAAUUCAUUAUAUGGGUACAUCCAGCUACCUUGAUGUUACGGCCACCAAUCAUUA
Microplitis mediator is the source of this 335-nucleotide long non-coding RNA. RefSeq lists it as uncharacterized. Lineage: Eukaryota; Metazoa; Arthropoda; Insecta; Hymenoptera; Braconidae. The record is from RefSeq and is a predicted model, not a curated record. The transcript has 3 exons.